RNAcentral lists this ribosomal RNA (484 nucleotides) under uncultured bacterium. Its description in RNAcentral is "partial 16S ribosomal RNA". It matches the Rfam family "Bacterial small subunit ribosomal RNA", at positions 28 to 523 of the family's 1533-position model. The record is from RNAcentral.
GACGAACGCUGGCGGCGUGCUUAACACAUGCAAGUCGAACGAUGAAGCUGGAGCUUGCUCCGGUGGAUUAGUGGCGAACGGGUGAGUAACACGUGAGCAAUCUGCCCUUGACUCUGGGAUAACUGCGUGAAACUGUAGCUAAUACAGGAUACUUUCACUGGAAGGCAUCUUCUGGUGACGAAAGAAUUUCGGUCAAGGAUGGGCUCGCGGCCUAUCAGCUUGUUGGUGAGGUAACGGCUCACCAAGGCGACGACGGGUAGCCGGCGUGAGAGGGUGGCCGGCCACACUGGGACUGAGACACGGCCCAGACUCCUACGGGAGGCAGCAGUAGGGAAUAUUGCACAAUGGGCGCAAGCCUGAUGCAGCAACGCCGCGUGAGGGAUGAAGGCCUUCGGGUUGUAAACCUCUUUUAGCAGGGAAGAAGCGAAAGUGACGGUACCUGCAGAAAAAGCACCGGCUAACUACGUGCCAGCAGCCGCGGUAA